ACCUCCCUCUUGUUAUCUUCAUUGAGAGACUUAUAUUAAUCGUGUCUUGCCCCAGUUUAGUAAAAUACAGAAUACCCGAGUUUCAAGGAGUGCCUGCUAGCCCAGAGUGGCUGGUAGAAACAGAAAUUGGGAUGGAUAGUGUAAUUCAUGCUGAUAACGACUAUGAUGAGGUACAUAUUGUGGGAAGUAGCUCAGACGCAUUGUUAAGACAGAACCAUAUCUCACAUAAAAGAAGCUGGGGACCAAAGGGAAAGAGAUGGAACAACAAUCCUCGCACAUCGCUUCCGCUACUCCAGACUAAUUUGGUUUUCACAUCAAAAGAUGAAGCAGAAGACUUCCUGCGGGUACUUCUAUCUACAAUUGACAAAGCAAAAGAACAAGGUCGGAGCUCUGUGCAUCUUCUUCAUCAAAGUAGUCUGAGACAAAUAUAGAACGAUAUAAAGGAUCCAAGUAAUUUUCCAU
Molecule: unclassified non-coding RNA, 462 nt
Filed under: Hevea brasiliensis (rubber tree)
Lineage: Eukaryota; Viridiplantae; Streptophyta; Magnoliopsida; Malpighiales; Euphorbiaceae
Source: RNAcentral